Molecule: small nucleolar RNA, 118 nt
Organism: Jaculus jaculus (lesser Egyptian jerboa)
Lineage: Eukaryota; Metazoa; Chordata; Mammalia; Rodentia; Dipodidae
Source: Ensembl
UAACAAGCCUCCAGGGUGACCCUGUGUAUUCCUCCAGUGCUGGCCAGCACAGUUUGGAAAUGGUUUGAGGCCUUGCUCUUCCCUGUCCAGAAUAUGGUUAUAGAAAUUUUAGAUAAGC